This 253-nucleotide ribosomal RNA is filed under the name uncultured bacterium. RNAcentral describes it as "partial 16S ribosomal RNA". It matches the Rfam family "Bacterial small subunit ribosomal RNA", at positions 524 to 776 of the family's 1533-position model. The record is from RNAcentral.
UACGAAGGGGGCUAGCGUUGCUCGGAAUCACUGGGCGUAAAGCGCACGUAGGCGGAUUGCUAAGUCAGGGGUGAAAUCCUGGAGCUCAACUCCAGAACUGCCUUUGAUACUGGCAACCUUGAGUCCGGGAGAGGUGAGUGGAACUGCGAGUGUAGAGGUGAAAUUCGUAGAUAUUAGGAAGAACACCAGUGGCGAAGGCGGCUCACUGGCUCGGUACUGACGCUGAGGCGCGAAAGCGUGGGGAGCAAACAGG